Ictidomys tridecemlineatus (thirteen-lined ground squirrel) is the source of this 2222-nucleotide long non-coding RNA. RefSeq lists it as uncharacterized. NCBI's taxonomy places the organism in Eukaryota, Metazoa, Chordata, Mammalia, Rodentia, Sciuridae. The record is from RefSeq and is a predicted model, not a curated record.
CAUGUUUAAGAGCAGCUUCAGCAAUUUAGUGAGGCCCUUUCUCAAAAAGGGCUGGGGAUGUAGCUCUGGUAAAGCACCCCUAAGUUCAAUUCCCAGUAAGGAGGAAAUAAAAAGAAAUCGUCAGCAAGACCAGGUACAGUGACAUACCUGUAAUCCCAGUGACUUCAGAGGUGGAGGUAGGAUUGCCAAACUCGAGGCCAAUCUGGGCAACUAAGUGAGACCCUGUCUCAAAAUGAAAAGCUGAGAGCUCUGGGCAUCGUCAUACUGAGACUUGCUUGCUCCUCCCUACCCCCUGGUUUCAUAGGAAGGCAGCUGGACGCAGGUCGCAUAGCAGAUAAGCAGAGCAGGCAUUCCAGCUUGCCCAGGAUUCUCACCCUUCACCUCUCACCUUGGUCCUAGCAGCCAAUGGGGCUGGAGGGCUGACCUGACCUGUCACUUGUGAAUGUCCUCUUCCUGCAUUAUCCAGAUCGGGAUACCUGAACAGGAAGGAGCAUGGACCCAAUAUCUACAGCCCCCAGGCCUGUGCCAGGUGCUGAUGUCUGUGGCCACUUCUGUCCCCCUGAGCCACCAUCAGAGUCAUAGCGGCAGUCAUGAGACACUUAGUAAUAUGCAAACGCUUUGAGACUUAUAGCCUCUUCAGCCUCCCUGGAGGACAUUUAGCUCAUUUUGCCAGAGAGGUGGGAGGUAGCCUCAGAGAGACACUUAGUCAAGUCAGGAGAAAAAGUCCCCCAAGAGAAGCCCAAAGUGGGUUCUGGCAUCCUCCUUGAGGGAGGCAGGGACCUGGAUCUGGGCAAAGGGCGCUGUGGGUUUGCCUCUUGGCUUUUGACUCAGGCCAGGACCUGCUUCCUAUGGAAACUUCAGGACACCAGGAAGAGUGCCCCAUCUCCCUUCCCCCAUCAGGGAAGCUUUAACUUUCUUCCUGGAUGCUCUUAAAGAGAAACAGAUCAGGCAGGGAGGCUGUUUAAAAUCCUGGGCUGCCAGCCAGUUUUGAAGAUUGUUUUGCUGGGGCCAGGGCGGGGCAGGAAUUCCAGCCUGCCAGGAGCCCAGGAGCAGCCACGUGCUGUGCAUUCACAUGGUUAAAGAGCUGUGUGGAGUUGGGCACUAGCACAGGGAGCUGGGCGGUGCUGGCCCAGACAAGGCAGCAGGCACCAGUCGGGUCUAGGGGGGGUGGGCAUGGGGAAAAGAAUUUCCAUCUGAUUCAUGGUCUGAGCUGCACACUCAGUCACUUUUUUUUGCAAUGACAAUGUUUAAGGACACUUUUUUUUUUUUUAAAGGAAAAAUAUCCAGCAUUUCCUCAAAAUCACACAUUAUCAGCAUAGACUCUGGACCUGAAGAACCAAUCACCACGUGGGGCAAUAAAGCUGUUGGUGUGGUGCAAAAAGAAGUUUAGAUGGGAAGGUCCAUAGACACGUAGAAUCUGGAAUUAAUCAGGAAAAGACAAUUGAGUAAUGAUGGAGAAGUGGCUGCUUUGCAGCUGUCAAAGUCAUGCCUGGAGAGAAUGUUGGAUGAUGUGAGAGUAUUCACAAUGUAGUGCUCAAAGAAGACAGUUGAUUAUGGGACAGAAGGCUGGCUGCUGUGGGAAGCAGAAUUCAUGCCUUAAAAUAAAUGCUUUCCACUGGGCACUCUGCUGUGUGAUGGGGGCCACAUCAAGGAGCCAUUUAAUCAUCUGCUAAAUGAGAGGCUAUACUUAAAAGUUUCUUUUCAUUGUGCUGGAGAUGCUCUUGCCCAGCAUGCUCUAUCCCCAGUACAUGGAAAAAAUAAAUUCGUAUUUUAAAUCUCCACUAUUCCUAACUCAAGCCUGCAUUCUCCUGGUGCAGAGGAAGGAUUCUAUCAGACUUCAAAGAAGAUAUUUUAGUGAAAUUGUCACCAUCUAUGAGUCAUAUAAAAAUGAGGACUGUAUCAGGGAAGUGGACCUGCAUCCCUAAACUGGCUGAAAUUUUCAUUUUUACUGAAGUUUCUGUUGAAUUAAAUAUAUGGGAAAGUGUUCAUAUCUUAAGUGUCCAAUUUGGUUAAUAUUUGCAAGGUGAAUGUGCCAAUAUAAUCAUCACCCAGAUUGAGGCACAGAAUGUGACUGUCUCCCAAAGCUCCCUCACAUCCCUCCAGUCAUUAUCUCUCAAGGAUAACUGCCAUUCUGACUCGUAACUGUGCAGAACAAUUUGCUUAGAUUUGUACACUUUUUUCCCUUUAUCUUUUUUCUUUUGUGUGUGUUGCUGGUGAUUAAA